This 74-nucleotide transfer RNA is filed under the name Cronartium ribicola 11-2. RNAcentral's name for it is "tRNA-Thr (AGT) (tRNA-Thr-AGT-29-1)". It matches the Rfam family "tRNA". Rfam says of the family: Transfer RNA (tRNA) molecules are approximately 80 nucleotides in length. Their secondary structure includes four short double-helical elements and three loops (D, anti-codon, and T loops). Further hydrogen bonds mediate the characteristic L-shaped molecular structure. tRNAs have two regions of fundamental functional importance: the anti-codon, which is responsible for specific mRNA codon recognition, and the 3' end, to which the tRNAs corresponding amino acid is attached (by aminoacyl-tRNA synthetases). tRNAs cope with the degeneracy of the genetic code in two manners: having more than one tRNA (with a specific anti-codon) for a particular amino acid; and 'wobble' base-pairing, i.e. permitting non-standard base-pairing at the 3rd anti-codon position. Lineage: Eukaryota; Fungi; Basidiomycota; Pucciniomycetes; Pucciniales; Coleosporiaceae. The record is from RNAcentral.
GCGUCUGUGGCCUAGUGGUAAAAGGCAGCACUCUAGUAAUGCUGAAGUUGUGGGUUCGAAUCCCACCAGACACA